Molecule: ribosomal RNA, 465 nt
Filed under: Vreelandella stevensii
Lineage: Bacteria; Pseudomonadati; Pseudomonadota; Gammaproteobacteria; Oceanospirillales; Halomonadaceae
Description: partial 16S ribosomal RNA
Rfam family: Bacterial small subunit ribosomal RNA
Source: RNAcentral
CCUACGGGAGGCAGCAGUGGGGAAUAUUGGACAAUGGGGGCAACCCUGAUCCAGCCAUGCCGCGUGUGUGAAGAAGGCCCUCGGGUUGUAAAGCACUUUCAGUGAGGAAGAACGCCUGGUGGUUAAUACCCAUCAGGAAAGACAUCACUCACAGAAGAAGCACCGGCUAACUCCGUGCCAGCAGCCGCGGUAAUACGGAGGGUGCGAGCGUUAAUCGGAAUUACUGGGCGUAAAGCGCGCGUAGGUGGCUUGAUAAGCCGGUUGUGAAAGCCCCGGGCUCAACCUGGGAACGGCAUCCGGAACUGUCAAGCUAGAGUGCAGGAGAGGAAGGUAGAAUUCCCGGUGUAGCGGUGAAAUGCGUAGAGAUCGGGAGGAAUACCAGUGGCGAAGGCGGCCUUCUGGACUGACACUGACACUGAGGUGCGAAAGCGUGGGUAGCAAACAGGAUUAGAUACCCUGGUAAUC